UAUUUCAGAAUCAGGCCGGGGCAAUGACGUAUUGCCCCGCUAACUCGGUCGUACAUCCAGCCGGUUGCCUGAUUCCUUGCAUUGAAGCGAUGUACGGAGUUUAUAGAGC
RNAcentral lists this non-coding RNA (109 nucleotides) under Citrobacter sedlakii. Its description in RNAcentral is "iscR stability element". It matches the Rfam family "iscR stability element". The record is from RNAcentral. Lineage: Bacteria; Pseudomonadati; Pseudomonadota; Gammaproteobacteria; Enterobacterales; Enterobacteriaceae.